Molecule: long non-coding RNA, 1753 nt
Organism: Hypanus sabinus (Atlantic stingray)
Lineage: Eukaryota; Metazoa; Chordata; Chondrichthyes; Myliobatiformes; Dasyatidae
Exons: 3
Source: RefSeq, a predicted model, not a curated record
UGGCCCAGUCAAUUUCAGUGCCAUCAUGGUCUUCACUUGUGAUUCUGAGACAAGGUAGACUGGAAAGAUAUCCUCCAGAGUUGAUUAUAUAGAAGAUACAUAGUGACUUCAAGACCAGCAAGGUACAGAUUUUCCCAAAACCUUGCUGCCUGGUACAUAGGAUAUAUAAAUCAGAAAGACACAAUGUCCAACCCAUGUAUCAGUUGAAAUCAUGGUUCAACUAUGAAACCUUCCAUAAACCAGUGAGCCCACGAUGCCCAAGCACUACAGUGGUGAGAUAUUGGAGAGCUGCCACCUAACUCCAGAGGGCCAUAAAGAGCAGAGGGAAAAACUGAAGACAGCAAACAACAACCUAAUUGACGUCAAGUAUGCCGUAAAUUUCAGGACAAGAAAAUACAUUUAAUCAGAUUAUUCUCCUUUGCAGAAGAACACGAGGUGAUCUCAUUGAAAGAUACAAAAUUCUCUCAGAGACUGACGGAAUAGAAGAAGAGAUCAUGCAUUUCCUCCAACAAACAUUUGGCUGAAGGAAGUCCUUUGGGUCAAGCAGCAUCUAUGAGAUGAAAGGAACUGUCAACAUUUGGGAUUGAUGCAAGAUUUCAACCUGAAACACCCAGACAGGCACUUUUUUGAUCGGGACAUCACCUUAACUUGGGACAUGAUCAUCAAAAUGAUUGCUGCUGUAUGAAAUAAAUACUAGGGAGAGAUGAUGAAAUUGCAAUCGGGCAGCAGAUCAGGCAGAAACAGGUAAUAAAGCAGGUUAGCUUUCAGCAUUUAAGAGAAGUUUGGUUAAGUAUAUGGAUGGGAGGGGUGUGGAAGGCUAUGUUUCAGGCGCAGUCGAUGGGAUGAGGUAGAUGAAUAGUUUGAAAUGGACUAGAGAUGGGCCGAAGGUCCUGUUCCUAUGCUGUAGUGCUAUACGACUCUAAUCACUUCCAAUGUUUGCAUGUUAACAUGUUUUUAAGCAAGCACAUACACUUUCUCCCCCAAGACAGAUUGCAGGGAGGGUACUCUACUUUGUGCACUUCUCUGCACAAGUGAUUCACAUCUGUACAAUGAACCAAGAUUGAAGGAAGCAAUUUCCACUAACAUCCUUUACAGAAAUCUCCCUUCUAUACAUGGACACACUCCUAUUGAACCCAAGCCUCCUGAACCACUGCUCUCCUCUGAGCUCAGUUAACUAACUCACAAGCUGACAAGUUACUCCGCAGGCUGACACCUAUUGCAAGCCCAGAAUGUGGUCUGAAGCCACCCUCUCCAUUGCUCUUCCCCAUUGUGCUAACUGCUUGAGGCCUCACAGUCCUAGAAAGGAAAUGACAAGUCAGAUGUUAAAAUUGUAUUUGCCUCCUGUUUUGGCCCUUGAGCUGCAGCUGGGAGUCAAGAAUUCAGGAUUAACCAUGAAAAAUCCGAAAUUUAAAUUCAAUAAAUCGGUUAAUUUCUGAAGCAGCAGCAGAAAAACCAUCUCAAAGCAUGUCUUGUUGCAGAUACCCCACUGGCUCAGCCGCAGUAUUCAGAAAAUCCUCCAGUAUCUAUUUGGUAUGGAGAAUAUGUGUUUGAAGUCCCUCUUGUACUGUUGACUAUGAAUGAGCACAGCAAGGCACUCAAUUUAAAUAAUUAUUGUGAGGAUUAGUCACAGGAAUAAAAAUGCUUUGGGAUAAGACCAAGUAGUCUUAGUUGGAUCAAUUCUCAUCAACAUACUUUAUUCAAAAAUAAAAUUAUAUACAAUAAACCAUUCAUUGACUUUCAAUCCUUUAUAACU